This 62-nucleotide transfer RNA is filed under the name Marmota marmota marmota (Alpine marmot). It matches the Rfam family "tRNA". From Rfam's summary of the family: Transfer RNA (tRNA) molecules are approximately 80 nucleotides in length. Their secondary structure includes four short double-helical elements and three loops (D, anti-codon, and T loops). The record is from Rfam by way of RNAcentral. RNAcentral also lists the same sequence under 2 other names. Lineage: Eukaryota; Metazoa; Chordata; Mammalia; Rodentia; Sciuridae.
GGAGUUGUAGCUCAGUGGUAGAGCACUUGCCUCACAAGUGUGAGGCACUGGAUUCAAUUCUA